AUACGUAGGGAGCGAGCGUUGUCCGGAAUUACUGGGUGUAAAGGGAGCGUAGGCGGGAGUGCAAGUCAGAUGUGAAAUACAUGGGCUCAACCCAUGGGCUGCAUUUGAAACUGCAUUUCUUGAGUGAAGUAGAGGUAAGCGGAAUUCCUGGUGUAGCGGUGAAAUGCGUAGAUAUCAGGAGGAACACCGGUGGCGGAGGCGGCUUACUGGGCUUUUACUGACGCUGAGGCUCGAAAGCGUGGGGAGCAAACAGGAUUAGAUACCCUGGUAGUCCACGCUGUAAACGAUGAUUACUAGGUGUGGGGGGACUGACCCCUUCCGUGCCGCAGUUAACACAAUAAGUAAUCCACCCGGGGAGUACGGCCGCAAGGUUGAAACUCAAAUGAAUUGACGGGG
RNAcentral lists this ribosomal RNA (396 nucleotides) under uncultured bacterium. RNAcentral describes it as "partial 16S ribosomal RNA". It matches the Rfam family "Bacterial small subunit ribosomal RNA", at positions 523 to 918 of the family's 1533-position model. The record is from RNAcentral.